Long non-coding RNA from Neopelma chrysocephalum (saffron-crested tyrant-manakin), 517 nucleotides. RefSeq lists it as uncharacterized. Lineage: Eukaryota; Metazoa; Chordata; Aves; Passeriformes; Pipridae. The record is from RefSeq and is a predicted model, not a curated record. The transcript is spliced from 3 exons.
CCCUUUCCCUUUCUCCCCUUCCCUUUCCCUCUUGUCCCCCUCUUUUCCACUUCCCAUUUCCCCCCCCCUUUCCCCAGCUCUUUUCCAUAACCAGCUGAUCCCACCCGGCUCCAGCUGCUCCAUCACUCCCUUCCCAUUCUCAGGGCCCUCGUCCCCCAAACUGGGGGGGUCCUGACCUGGGGUGUGUGUGGGGUUCUGACCCUCAUCCCCCACCUCAAUCCCACCUUUCCCCCUUUCCCAGGUCUCCUUAAACGCCUGGUUCUGGUCCACGGUUUUCCACACGCGGGACACGGCGCUGACGGAGAAACUGGAUUAUUUCUGUGCUUCGGCCGCCGUCCUGCACUCGGUGUACCUGUGCUGUGUCAGGACGCUGGGGCUGCAGCGCCCAGCCUUAAUCAGCAUCUUCAGGGCCUUCCUCCUCCUCUUCCUCACCUGCCACAUCUCCUACCUGAGCCUCGUGCGCUUCGACUACGGCUACAACCUGGCGGCCAACGCGGCCCUGGGUGAGCUGGGGGGC